CAAGACGUAGCUAUAACCCAAAGCAUUCAGCUUACACCUGAAAGAUAUCUGCCACUCAUCAGAUCGUCUUGA
This 72-nucleotide transfer RNA is filed under the name Afrotis afra. RNAcentral's name for it is "tRNA-Val". Lineage: Eukaryota; Metazoa; Chordata; Aves; Otidiformes; Otididae. The record is from RNAcentral.